Vigna unguiculata (cowpea) is the source of this 721-nucleotide long non-coding RNA. NCBI's taxonomy places the organism in Eukaryota, Viridiplantae, Streptophyta, Magnoliopsida, Fabales, Fabaceae. The record is from RefSeq and is a predicted model, not a curated record.
CCUCGCCCAGCUAGAAUGGCAGCAGCGAGAAUGGCGAGGCUGCGGAGGAAGGAGAGGAAUCAGAUGGUCUGAGAGGCGUCUGGCUCGUCGAGGAAUAGUUCCUCAGGCACAAGGAAAGCACUAUGGAGGCAAUCGACCACGAUGCCGAGCAUGAGAGCGGAGAUGAAGGUGGAGCUGACGCUAGUGAUGAACACGACGAAGACGGUGAGCCCAAUAACUAGGGUUUCAAAAUCUUUAACCGAUACAAAGCUCAAUUGAUUUGUGUGGUGUGUUGAACUUGCUCUUUUCGAGUAUUUUGCUGGAGAGAAAGAAAGUGUUUUGCAAGUAAGUUCAUGUUUUGCAAAAGGUGCAAUGGUGCUUAUCAUUGUUCGGUCUGCAACCUCCUCAUAAGUUCAAUUUUGAAAUGCUAGAGUGGGAGGGCAAGGAUUUCUUAAAAGAUGUUCUGUAUCCAAUCUAAGGCCUAUAAACGUGAAGGUUGAAUAUUUCAUUUUUCAGGUGUUUCUGCUGUAGUCCAGGGAGAAAAUAAUGACAACUGCAAGGAAAGAGAAAAAGAGAGAGAGGCUCGAAGAGAAGAGAAGCCUAAGAAAGCAACUUUGUUGGAAAAGCUUGAAGAUGGGGAUUCUAUUGCUGCAAGCAUGCUGCAGGGCUCUCAAAUUAAUAAUGAAAAAGAAGCUGGUUUAAUAACUAAUUCCAUUAAUAGUGUCACUCAACUGAAGGAGAG